This 754-nucleotide ribosomal RNA is filed under the name Staphylococcus aureus. RNAcentral describes it as "partial 23S ribosomal RNA". It matches the Rfam family "Bacterial large subunit ribosomal RNA", at positions 513 to 1274 of the family's 2925-position model. The record is from RNAcentral. Lineage: Bacteria; Bacillati; Bacillota; Bacilli; Caryophanales; Staphylococcaceae.
GGUGAAAAGCACCCCGGAAGGGGAGUGAAAUAGAACCUGAAACCGUGUGCUUACAAGUAGUCAGAGCCCGUUAAUGGGUGAUGGCGUGCCUUUUGUAGAAUGAACCGGCGAGUUACGAUUUGAUGCAAGGUUAAGCAGUAAAUGUGGAGCCGUAGCGAAAGCGAGUCUGAAUAGGGCGUUUAGUAUUUGGUCGUAGACCCGAAACCAGGUGAUCUACCCUUGGUCAGGUUGAAGUUCAGGUAACACUGAAUGGAGGACCGAACCGACUUACGUUGAAAAGUGAGCGGAUGAACUGAGGGUAGCGGAGAAAUUCCAAUCGAACCUGGAGAUAGCUGGUUCUCUCCGAAAUAGCUUUAGGGCUAGCCUCAAGUGAUGAUUAUUGGAGGUAGAGCACUGUUUGGACGAGGGGCCCCUCUCGGGUUACCGAAUUCAGACAAACUCCGAAUGCCAAUUAAUUUAACUUGGGAGUCAGAACAUGGGUGAUAAGGUCCGUGUUCGAAAGGGAAACAGCCCAGACCACCAGCUAAGGUCCCAAAAUAUAUGUUAAGUGGAAAAGGAUGUGGCGUUGCCCAGACAACUAGGAUGUUGGCUUAGAAGCAGCCAUCAUUUAAAGAGUGCGUAAUAGCUCACUAGUCGAGUGACACUGCGCCGAAAAUGUACCGGGGCUAAACAUAUUACCGAAGCUGUGGAUUGUCCUUUGGACAAUGGUAGGAGAGCGUUCUAAGGGCGUUGAAGCAUGAUCGUAAGGACAUGU